Molecule: ribosomal RNA, 3793 nt
Filed under: Triticum aestivum (bread wheat)
Lineage: Eukaryota; Viridiplantae; Streptophyta; Magnoliopsida; Poales; Poaceae
Description: partial small subunit ribosomal RNA
Source: RNAcentral
GCGUGUGUGUGUGGCCCCUUAGCUUUGGGAGCAGAGAGGAGAGCGGGCUGGUUCCCCGCUGCGGCGGAGGCGGCAGGGCCGGGCUGGAGGAGGGGCAGCGGCGCGGGGGAGGUUCAAGUUGGCGGCCGCUGCCGCUGCCGCUCCCGGGGCACUUGGUUCACUGCAGAAGGAGCGGGAAAAGCAGUAGGGACGCCGCGUGGGGCGGCGGCGGGAGGGGCAGCGGCAGAGGUCUAGGUUCUUCUACCUUUUAUUCAACUUAUAUCAAGUUACUAAAGACAACCCUGUAGUCUGCGAGACCUCGGCAAGACAGUUGAGUCCUGUUGAACCCCAUGUCAAAGUCUCUCGUAGUCUUAUAACAACCUAUUCGACCUUCCCUCUAGGAAUAGUCCCUGAUAAAUUGUAGGCGUUAAAGUAGUCUGAUUAUUCCAAUUUUACCGACCACAACGAUCCUUUCCCUCCAGGUUCACCCUGUGUGUCCUUUAAAGAGGACUAUAACAACUCUAGUCACUUCUGCUGAGAGGAGGAUUCUUAUGUCUACUAGCGGCGUUUCUACACUAGGGAUGAGUCCUAGAGUGAUUACUAUUACCUUUCGCUGAACCACUUAGAAGAUUGGAUUUUGGACUACGGAAGUACGUGGUUCCGUCAUGACUUAUGCUCGUCCUUGCGUGACUACCCAAUUUAUUUCUACAGUUCCUUUCCGUUAGAUUUCGCAGUAGACUUUCCAGCGUACGAGGAUCUUACCGACUUCUCCGCGUAUUAUUACUACUGACCCCAUUCAAUCGAAGAAACCUUUUCCGUUGACCAUUGGUUCGAUACUCGUCUUUACGACUACUGUCUUCUGCACCUCUACCUACCCCGUGUCGACGAUCGGCACCAAUAAGAAGAUCCCACAGCAGACCAGGUCUACGUACCUUCGUCGCGUGAGCGUCAGGUAGAGGUUCUCCACGAACCUUGUCCAGUGCGUCCUUGUCUUCACCGAGGUCUUCGUCCUCAUCUCUCGCUCAAUCUCCCUCUUCGUCUUCAGCUUCAGCCUCAGGAAUAAAACUGGCACCUAGACUAACCUCCCGACUCUCUCCGUCUUAUAGACCUCCCGGAAGAAACGAGACGUCUCUAAAAUGUCGACCAUCUACGUCUUCUCCGAACGUAACGUCCAAAGGAGUACUUCUACCACCCGCUUCCGUCAAGCUGCUCGGAAUAGGGCGUCUGAGCUCCCUUUCCAUACCGGUAGUCUUGUUCCUAAAGUACCUAGGUGCUCUUGGUCUACUGAUACGUGCCUCGUCCGUUGGAGCUCCAGUAAAACUACUUCCAUGAACCCUUUCUAGACUUGGGGCUUCUCUAAUGUCCAGAAGACUAGUUACGGUACUCAAACAGUUUCCUUCCACGUCGUCUCCACGUUCAACGUCUAUACAAGUACUACUCAGGCGAAGAGUACGACCUACCUCUCUACUACGAUCCCUUUGUCGAGUACACUCUCCACCAGGACUAAGUAGGAAACCCUUAUCCUGUCUCGUGGCAUCUCUUGUUUUUUCCGGGACAUUUAAAAAACGACUUCCAGCGACGGCAGCACCACUUUGAACAGGUAUAGAGGUACUCCUUCGAGGGGUCUCAGUUUACCCGGGUCCACGUAGGCUACUCGGAGGUUUUAUGUCACCACCCGCGUGUGGUUCUCCUUUAAUAAGCUUAACCCCGCUUCUUUGAUUACGGUGUGUACGCCCAAGAGUAUAAAAUAGGUCUCUACUGUCCCUUUUGUGACCAAGAGUCGUAUGACGGUCUUCACUAUGACCUAUACCCAUGUUUUCGGCCGUUAACCUUCUACGACCUUCCCUAGUCAUGGUCUAUUAAGGAGUCCUCCUAAAACCAAGUGUUCCCGCUUUGUUUGGACUUUACAGACGAAGUUUUGUCGGUGUCAAAAAUUCAGGAUAGGUUUGUUCACGUCUAUCGUACUUGUUACUGUUCCAUAGACUGUACCUACCAGACUCACGUAGACGAUGGUGACCGUUAAACUCAUACGUUUGACCCUAUGUACGACGAUUAGAAAAUCCACCCGUCUCGAACUCGGUUUAUCGCGUCUCGGUUCUACGUCAAGGAGUUUGAAGACCCCGUGGUUAAGUAGGUCAGUGUUCGGUCGUCGUCCUACGAUGUAGGCACAACGGAAAAUUAUAGGUUGGCGUACUUUCGUUGAAAAGUAAUGUAGGCUUGUCCGUUCUGGUCAAAUCGUUGAAGAGUAAUGUAGGUCUGUCCGUUCUAGUUAAACAUCGAAGAGUCCGUUGACGUUUAUUGAGUCGAGGAUCGUACGUCUUAGUCGGUCAUCGGCGAGGAAUAUACCCUGUGUCGGUUGUGUCGAUGUGAGAUCCAAGUGUCCGUAACGGACGUAAAUUACCUGUAUUAAAGUCACAGCGACCAGUUCAAGGCGUUCUAGCGGGUUGCGGAAAGAUACGACCCGUCUCAGUCCGUUGGCAACUGUACAGGUUAGGAUUGGUUCUCUCACCAUGAGUGUCGUACGUUUUGUGUGUAUCAAAGGUCGGACAACGAGGUUUAUACGUUCGAGCGUCAGUUCGGAACGUCCCCGAUAGACCUCACGGACCGGUUCUAUGGCCAUGGGUUUCGUAUGUCUUGCGUGUGUUAAAGGUCGGACAACGAGGAGGUAUAUACGUUUUGGCCCCAGUUUGGAACGUCCCAAAUAGCUAUAACGGUUCGAGGUCGAGUCGACUAUACGGACCACGAGGGGGACAAGGAGGAUUACUCCUUCUUUAGGCGGCAAGUAAUUGUAGAGACCGCCGUUGGGAGUAUUACGUCGGACCAUGUCAACGACCUGAUGUCAACGGGGUCGGAUAAGACUUAGGCUCGAACUACCGGUCAAACAGUCGACAACUUGGGUCAGUCACCGGAACCCGUGUCGUCGUGUUCCGUCCUUGUUGGGUUGAGCGUGUCGUCGUUGUCCGUCCUUACUGGGUUGAGCGCGUCAGACUUGUCGUUCGAGGGGUCGUCUGUAACGGCCGUGGAAGAUGCCGUCAACCGUCAUCAUUACCGUUGUUGGGUCGCGUCAGCUAGCCAGUCUGGCGACGCUGUAGUCACCAAUGGCGCGGUGUCCGACGUCUUUUAUUCUUUCAUCUUCGGUUUCGGUUUCUAUUGCUACCGCUUGUUCUACCGCUGUUCUUAUUUUUCCCGUUGUUCCUCCUCAGGUUCCGCGACUUCUACAAGUUUGAGCGCGAGCGUCUGAAACACUUCCUGCGCGAGUUUGGAUGGACCUUUCUCCCGGUCGACUGGUCCCUCCAAGUGUUUUGGUAUCACUUCUUCCAGCAGCUGUUUCAGUGCUCGUGCCAGCUUUUGUGGGGAGGUUGUUUUCUCUUCUAGCUACAGAUGUACAGGAUGAGCUUCCUUUUUGACUCGUUUGAACAUGUCCGCAUACAGCCGUUCAUACAGUUCCGCAUCGUGGUGGGGCGGCCGGUUUUACCGCUGUAGCCCGCAGACAGACAAAAACACGGAACACACUGUCCUUCUUACCUUUCGUCCCAAAUCCACCGUUCCCAAAGAAAAACAAGACAAAGUCCGCGGAACACGUUUACAACGGAUCACAACAUAGUAGCAGAGGAGGAAAACAUGUUGUUGUGGUAAACUUUGUACUUGGAAGACAUCGCCAUCUAUCUAUAUCCAAUACGUUUUCUGCACCCAGCCAGCACCAGCAGAAGUACUUGUGGCCCGCACAAGGCACAAACGUACGUACAUCUUGAACUGAAUCGUACUGACGGUUAAGUUUGAGACAGGAGACAAACAGACCAACCAACAAACAAAG